CAGAGAUCACAGUAGAUUACUGUCCCAUAACAACAGAGAUCACAGUAGGUUACAGCCUCAUAACAACAGAGAUCACAGUAGGUUACAGCCUCAUAACAACAGAGAUCACAGUAGAUUACAGCCUCACAACAACAGAGAUCACAGUAGGUUACAGCCUCAUAACAACAGAGAUCACAGUAGAUUACAGCCUCAUAACAACAGAGAUCACAGUAGAUUACAGUCCCAUAACAACAGAGAUCACAGUAGGUUACAGCCUCAUAACAACAGAGAUCAAAGUAGAUUACUGUCCCAUAACAACAGAGAUCACAGUAGAUUACAGCCUCACAACAACAGAGAUCACAGUAGGUUACAGCCUCACAACAACAGAGAUCACAGUAGAUUACUGUCCCAUAACAACAGAGAUCAUAGUUGGAUACGGCCUCAUAACAACAGAGAUCACAGUAGAUUACAGCCCCAUAACAACAGAGAUCACAGUAGAUUACUGUCCCAUAAAACAGAGAUCACAGUAGAUUACAGUCCCAUAACAACAGAGAUCACAGUAGAUUACAGCCUCACAACAACAGAGAUCACAGUAGGUUACAGCCUCAUAACAACAGAGAUCACAGUAGAUUACUGUCCCAUAACAACAGAGAUCACAGUAGAUUACAGCCUCAUAACAACAGAGAUCACAGUAGAUUACUGUCCCAUAACAACAGAGAUCACAGUAGAUUACAGGCUCACAACAACAGAGAUCACAGUAGAUUACUGUCCCAUAACAACAGAGAUCACAGUAGAUUACUGUCUCAUAACAACAGAGAUCACAGUAGAUUACAGCCUCACAACAACAGAGAUCACAGUAGAUUACUGUCCCAUUAAAACAGAGAUCACAGUAGAUUACGGUCCCAUAACAACAGAGAUCACAGUAGAUUACUGUCUCAUAACAACAGAGAUCACAGUAGAUUACAGGCUCACAACAACAGAGAUCACAGUAGAUUACAGCCUCACAACAACAGAUAUCACAGUAGGUUACAGCCUCACAACAACAGAGAUCACAGUAGGUUACAGCCUCACAACAACAGAGAUCACAGUAGAUUACAGCCUCACAACAACAGAGAUCACAGUAGGUUACAGUCCCAUAACAACAGAGAUCACAGUAGAUUACUGUCUCAUAACAACAGAGAUCACAGUAGAUUACAGGCUCACAACAACAGAGAUCACAGUAGGUUACAGCCUCAUAACAACAGAGAUCACAGUUGGUUACAGCCUCACAACAACAGAGAUCACAGUAGAUUACAGCCUCACAACAACAGAGAUCACAGUAGGUUACAGCCUCAUAACAACAGAGAUCACAGUAGAUUACAGCCUCAUAACAACAGAGAUCACAGUAGAUUACAGUCCCAUAACAACAGAGAUCACAGUAGGUUACAGUCCCAUAACAACAGAGAUCACAGUAGAUUACAGCCUCACAACAACAGAGAUCACAGUAGGUUACAGCCUCAUAACAACAGAGAUCACAGUAGAUUACAGCCUCACAACAACAGAGAUCACAGUAGAUUACAGCCUCAC
Molecule: long non-coding RNA, 1545 nt
Filed under: Salmo salar (Atlantic salmon)
Lineage: Eukaryota; Metazoa; Chordata; Actinopteri; Salmoniformes; Salmonidae
Description: lncRNA (ENSSSAG00000092951.1)
Source: RNAcentral